GACGAACGCUGGCGGCGUGCCUAACACAUGCAAGUCGAGCGGGGAUUGAGGAGAGCUUGCUCAAAUCAAUUCUAGCGGCGGACGGGUGAGUAACGCGUGAGCAACCUGCCUUCUACUGGGGAAUAACGCACCGAAAGGUGUGCUAAUACCGCAUGAGACCACAGGACCGCAUGGUCUAGAGGUCAAAGAUUUAUCGGUAGAAGAUGGGCUCGCGUCUGAUUAGCUAGUUGGUGAGGUAACGGCCCACCAAGGCGACGAUCAGUAGCCGACCUGAGAGGGUGAUCGGCCACAUUGGAACUGAGAAACGGUCCAA
RNAcentral lists this ribosomal RNA (313 nucleotides) under uncultured bacterium. RNAcentral's name for it is "bacterial SSU rRNA". It matches the Rfam family "Bacterial small subunit ribosomal RNA", at positions 28 to 334 of the family's 1533-position model. The record is from RNAcentral.